This 253-nucleotide ribosomal RNA is filed under the name uncultured bacterium. Its description in RNAcentral is "partial 16S ribosomal RNA". It matches the Rfam family "Bacterial small subunit ribosomal RNA", at positions 524 to 776 of the family's 1533-position model. The record is from RNAcentral.
UACGUAGGGGGCAAGCGUUGUCCGGAUUUACUGGGCGUAAAGGGCGCGUAGGCGGGGAGGUAAGUCGGGUGUGAAAUCCCUCGGCCCAACCGAGGAACUGCGCCCGAGACUGCUUCUCUUGAGUCCCGGAGAGGAAGGUGGAAUUCCCGGUGUAGCGGUGAAAUGUGUAGAGAUCGGGAGGAACACCGGUGGCGAAGGCGGCCUUCUGGACGGUGACUGACGCUGAGGCGCGAAAGCGUGGGGAGCAAACGGG